This 1485-nucleotide long non-coding RNA is filed under the name Homo sapiens (human). RNAcentral describes it as "HSALNT0269734". The record is from RNAcentral. Lineage: Eukaryota; Metazoa; Chordata; Mammalia; Primates; Hominidae.
CACCCCCUCUCCUCCUCUCCCCACCCUCAUUGAGCCAAGGGCACUUCCACGGGUCUAUGAGCUUUACUGCCCAGUGGUUGAUGCUUAAUUCAGCCACUAGGGAGGGCUGGCCAUGGGGGUUGAGGGGCCGUGGAGAACAGCGACAGAGGUGGAUUUCACCUGAAUGACGGCAGCGGCCGGCCACAUGGCUGUGACUCAGGUCCAGUUUCUCCCUCUCCACCUCUUGCCUUGGAUAAAGUCCAUGUAGGUGACACCAGAGUGCUGACCUGGCUGCCAUUUGAAGGCGCUGUGACCUGUGAUGAGCCACUCAAACCGUAAGUCAACAUUUAUCUGUAAGGAGCCAUAUUCUGCACAUCCAGAAAAGGUGAAUUUUCCAGAUGAGAAGGACCUUGAAGAUUUUCUACUCUGGCAGUUUCCAUCCUCACUGCUGAGUGCCACUUUUGUUCUUUUCCCCGCCAGCCCUCAUGUUUUCAAAGAUUGUGUUGCCCAAACUGCCUUUGUUAAGUAAUAAUUUGUUUUCCAAUUGUUUAAUUAAUCAAAGACAUAAAUAACUGCCAACCUGAGCUUUUAAUCAGUGUAGGGGGGAGAGAGGCCAAAAGCUGAUACUUAUUAAGCACCUGCCACGCACCAGCCGCUGCCCCCGCACCCUUCAUGCUGUCCUCCCACAACCCCUCCGUGCCAGGACAUGGAGGGACAGAGAAGCAGUUCUCCUUCGCCAAGGUCACACGGGCAGCCAGAGGCAAAGCCAGGACCAGCUCCUGAGUCUGCCCAAUGGCAAAGGUCCACUCUUUCUACAGCUGGCUACCACCUCUUGUCUUGCCACCCUGGGGUGAUGCAAUUCCAGCCCAAGGCAAAGGAAAGGCAUUUAUAUCCGCCUGAAAUACUGAAAAUGCCUCCUGUGUUGAGCCAAGACUCUUUCCACUGCAGAUGACAGAAGCACGACUCAAACGGACUCAGAUAAAACAAAGGAUGUGGGGGCUGGUUGGCUCACAUAACUGGAGUCCAAGUGGAAGGUUAUCAGCAGGGAGCCCGUGGCAGCGUUCACCCCAUGUGACCAAUGAGGAAUCUGAAGACCAGAAAGGGCCUGCCCUGAAAGGGAAUGGAACCCUGACGCAGGCCACAGCGCAGAAGGACCUUGAAAACACGGCGCUAAGUGAGAAAAGCCGGACGCAAAGCACUACAUCCCCUAUGAGUCCAUUCAAAGGAAAUGUCCAGAACAGGCAAAUCUGUAGAGACAAAGCAGACAGAGACUGCUCAGGGCUAGAGGGAAUGGGGGGAUAGGGGAUGAUUGCUGAAGGGUAUGGGGUUUCUUUUUUGAGGUGAUGAAAAUGUUCCAAAAUGGACAGUGGUGACAGUUACACAACUCUGGGAAUACACUAAGAAGUGUUGAGUUCUACACUUCAAAUAGUUGCAUUGUGUGGAACGUGGAUUGUAUCUCAAUAAAGUCUUUUUAAAAAGAAAGAUAGGCCGGGCGCAGUGGCUCAC